AGUGAACGCUGGCGGUAGGCCUAACACAUGCAAGUCGAACGGCAGCACAGUAAGAGCUUGCUCUUACGGGUGGCGAGUGGCGGACGGGUGCGGAAUACAUCGGAAUCUACUCUUUCGUGGGGGAUAACGUAGGGAAACUUACGCUAAUACCGCAUACGACCUACGGGUGAAAGCAGGGGAUCUUCGGACCUUGCGCGAUUGAAUGAGCCGAUGUCGGAUUAGCUAGUUGGCGGGGUAAAGGCCCACCAAGGCGACGAUCCGUAGCUGGUCUGAGAGGAUGAUCAGCCACACUGGAACUGAGACACGGUCCAGACUCCUACGGGAGGCAGCAGUGGGGAAUAUUGGACAAUGGGCGCAAGCCUGAUCCAGCCAUACCGCGUGGGUGAAGAAGGCCUUCGGGUUGUAAAGCCCUUUUGUUGGGAAAGAAAAGCAGCAGGUUAAUACCCCGCUGUUCUGACGGUACCCAAAGAAUAAGCACCGGCUAACUUCGUG
This 492-nucleotide ribosomal RNA is filed under the name uncultured bacterium. RNAcentral's name for it is "partial 16S ribosomal RNA". It matches the Rfam family "Bacterial small subunit ribosomal RNA", at positions 29 to 507 of the family's 1533-position model. The record is from RNAcentral.